AUACGAGGGGAGCAAGCGUUAUUCGGAAUUACUGGGCGUAAAGCAUGUGAAGGCGGCUUGUUAAGUCGAGUGUUAAAUCCCAUAGCCUAACUAUGGGGCUGCAUUCGAUACUGGCUUGCUAGAGUGCGAGAGAGAGAAGUGGAAUUCUUGGAGUAGCGGUAAAAUGCGUAGAUAUAGGAAGGAAUACCAGUGGCGAAGGCGGCCACCUGGCUUGAUACUGACGCUGAGGCGCGAAAGCGUGGGGAGCGAACAGGAUUAGAAACCCGGGUAGUCC
RNAcentral lists this ribosomal RNA (274 nucleotides) under uncultured bacterium. RNAcentral's name for it is "partial 16S ribosomal RNA". It matches the Rfam family "Bacterial small subunit ribosomal RNA", at positions 523 to 796 of the family's 1533-position model. The record is from RNAcentral.